GGCCGGGUCCCAUACGAUAGGCUUCUCAAGCGAACCCCGCCAGGUCCGGAAGGAAGCAACGGUACUUGGGAUCUAUGCGAUAUGGGGUGCCUGGCCACU
This 99-nucleotide signal recognition particle RNA is filed under the name Pseudobdellovibrionaceae bacterium. RNAcentral describes it as "Bdellovibrionaceae bacterium signal recognition particle sRNA small type". It matches the Rfam family "Bacterial small signal recognition particle RNA". From Rfam's summary of the family: The signal recognition particle (SRP) is a universally conserved ribonucleoprotein involved in the co-translational targeting of proteins to membranes. Archaeal SRP consists of a 7S RNA and homologues of the eukaryotic SRP19 and SRP54 proteins. The record is from RNAcentral. Lineage: Bacteria; Pseudomonadati; Bdellovibrionota; Bdellovibrionia; Bdellovibrionales; Pseudobdellovibrionaceae. RNAcentral also lists the same sequence under 1 other name.